Molecule: non-coding RNA, 187 nt
Filed under: Rhodobacteraceae bacterium GWF1_65_7
Lineage: Bacteria; Pseudomonadati; Pseudomonadota; Alphaproteobacteria; Rhodobacterales; Paracoccaceae
Description: partial RNase P RNA component class A
Rfam family: Bacterial RNase P class A
About the family: Ribonuclease P (RNase P) is a ubiquitous endoribonuclease, found in archaea, bacteria and eukarya as well as chloroplasts and mitochondria. Its best characterised activity is the generation of mature 5'-ends of tRNAs by cleaving the 5'-leader elements of precursor-tRNAs. Cellular RNase Ps are ribonucleoproteins.
Source: RNAcentral
GCGGAUGGCUGGAUGACCGCGGGGCCAAAGUCGAAAGGCUGGCCGCGAGGAAAGUCCGGACUCCAUGAAGGAAGGGUGCCGGGUAACGCCCGGCGGGGGUAACCCCAGGGAAAGCGCCACAGAGAACAGACCGCCUCGCCAAAGCGAAGGUUCGCCUUCGACGCGGAUGAGGUAAGGGUGAAACGGU